UACGUAGGGCGCAAGCGUUGUCCGGAAUUAUUGGGCGUAAAGAGCUCGUAGGCGGUUUGUCGCGUCUGCUGUGAAAACCUAAGGCUCAACCUUGGGCUUGCAGUGGGUACGGGCAGACUAGAGUGCGGUAGGGGUGACUGGAAUUCCUGGUGUAGCGGUGGAAUGCGCAGAUAUCAGGAGGAACACCGAUGGCGAAGGCAGGUCACUGGGCCGCAACUGACGCUGGAGGAAGCGAAAAGCAUGGGAGCGAACAGG
Molecule: ribosomal RNA, 255 nt
Filed under: uncultured bacterium
Lineage: Bacteria
Description: partial 16S ribosomal RNA
Rfam family: Bacterial small subunit ribosomal RNA
Source: RNAcentral